GGCCCCGUAGCUCAGUGGAUAGAGCAUCUGCCUUCUAAGCAGAUGGUCACACGUUCGAAUCGUGUCGGGGUCA
Sphingobacteriales bacterium BACL12 MAG-120813-bin55 is the source of this 73-nucleotide non-coding RNA. The record is from Rfam. NCBI's taxonomy places the organism in Bacteria, Pseudomonadati, Bacteroidota, Sphingobacteriia, Sphingobacteriales.